UGAGUUGUAGUUUAACUUGGGAAAACGUCAUUUUUUGGUAAUGAACAAUAUCAGUUCGACUCUGAUUGACUCAG
RNAcentral lists this transfer RNA (74 nucleotides) under Peniophora lycii. Its description in RNAcentral is "tRNA-Gln". The record is from RNAcentral. Lineage: Eukaryota; Fungi; Basidiomycota; Agaricomycetes; Russulales; Peniophoraceae.